GGGCGCUUAGCUCAGGGGGAGAGCGCUUCCCUGACACGGAAGAGGUCAGAGGUUCAAAUCCUCUAGCGCCCA
RNAcentral lists this transfer RNA (72 nucleotides) under Actinomycetes bacterium. RNAcentral's name for it is "Actinobacteria bacterium (groundwater metagenome) tRNA-Val". It matches the Rfam family "tRNA". From Rfam's summary of the family: Transfer RNA (tRNA) molecules are approximately 80 nucleotides in length. Lineage: Bacteria; Bacillati; Actinomycetota; Actinomycetes. RNAcentral also lists the same sequence under 3 other names. The record is from RNAcentral.